Long non-coding RNA from Gadus macrocephalus (Pacific cod), 761 nucleotides. RefSeq lists it as uncharacterized. The transcript is spliced from 2 exons. NCBI's taxonomy places the organism in Eukaryota, Metazoa, Chordata, Actinopteri, Gadiformes, Gadidae. The record is from RefSeq and is a predicted model, not a curated record.
GCUAUAGAGAGAGAGAGUUGCGACACGCUUUGAUCUCGCCGACAGGGUGGUCACGUGGUUCAUGUAAGCCUCAAUAGUUCCAAACACGCCGCGCAGUCAAUGUUAUUCUAUGGGACGACAGCAGAGAUUUCAAUAUUGAAUGGUAAAUAUGAAUGAAAAAAACACAUCCAAGUAUUUGUCUGACUGUUACGGCAUUAUUGCAUAUUUGUUAAUGUCAGUUUUACCUUUAGAGUGGUUAGAUACGUUUUUAAGUUUGAGGGAAAGCUUCACGUUCGUGUUAGCAUACUGGCUUAAAGGCACCCAGUGCAACUUUAUAUGUUUUACCAUGAUCAUUUUAAGAUGAGCCACACAAAGUAUCAAAUAUAUUAAAGAAUAACAACUCAUUACGCUUGGAUGAAUGAAAUCGUUUUUAUUUUUAUUAAACAAUUAGUGUGACAAGAACAAGUGAGUGUGAUUGUGUUAACAGAUUCAACAAUGGACACAGCAGGGAACACUAUAUAAUAUACUUAGGGCAAACCAUUAACAUAUAACGUUGCAAAUAUACUAUACUUUAUGCCAUUACAAUACUUAUAAUAGCCCUGAGCAAAUUCAAAAUUGGUUUAGAUCAAUGGUCAUACCAUGGUUGGCUGUGCAGCGUUUGGAUGCUCCAAUCGGUCCGAGAAGGGUUACCACAUGUAUGGCUUCCCCAAGGACCAAGAGCGCAGGAAGAAAUGGAUGGCAAUGGUCAGACGUCAAAACGUACAAGUGACAGGGGUCAGCAA